Molecule: ribosomal RNA, 482 nt
Filed under: uncultured bacterium
Lineage: Bacteria
Description: partial 16S ribosomal RNA
Rfam family: Bacterial small subunit ribosomal RNA
Source: RNAcentral
AUUGAACGCUGGCGGCAUGCUUUACACAUGCAAGUCGAACGGUAACAGGCCGCAAGGUGCUGACGAGUGGCGAACGGGUGAGUAAUGCAUCGGAACGUGCCCAGUCGUGGGGGAUAACUACUCGAAAGAGUAGCUAAUACCGCAUACGAUCUAUGGAUGAAAGCGGGGGACCGUAAGGCCUCGCGCGAUUGGGGCGGCCGAUGUCAGAUUAGGUAGUUGGUGGGGUAAAGGCUCACCAAGCCAACGAUCUGUAGCUGGUCUGAGAGGACGACCAGCCACACUGGGACUGAGACACGGCCCAGACUCCUACGGGAGGCAGCAGUGGGGAAUUUUGGACAAUGGGCGCAAGCCUGAUCCAGCAAUGCCGCGUGCAGGAAGAAGGCCUUCGGGUUGUAAACUGCUUUUGUACGGAACGAAACGGCUCUGGUUAAUACCCGGGGCUAAUGGCGGUACCGUAAGAAUAAGCACCGGCUAACUACGUG